Molecule: long non-coding RNA, 411 nt
Filed under: Drosophila melanogaster (fruit fly)
Lineage: Eukaryota; Metazoa; Arthropoda; Insecta; Diptera; Drosophilidae
Description: long non-coding RNA:CR43496 (Dmel_CR43496)
Source: RNAcentral
AGUCGAAGUGAAUUCGCCGCACGCGACAGUUGUGUGCGUUUGGCAGUGCCCAAGUGUCAUUGUAUUGUUUGAACUCUUCCAACACACAAAACAUAUUUAGUAGGCGCCACUUCACAGUAUUACGAACAAUACUUCUAACACGACUCAUGGUCUGGUUCGUCGAUCGGCGAAUACCAAACACUGUGUGCCAUUUAAGUCUUGAUACACCAGCUGAUAUAAACCAAGCCAAUCGCGAUCCUUAUUAUGACCUUGAUUUUUAAUAUAAAUCAAUAGGGUUGGAGCACAGGAAGGUCUAGUACAUAAUCUGAAAAUGUGUUCGCAACGACGGAAGCAUGUUGUUCUUAUCCUUGAUAACUAUUACUGUAGCACUAUCAUCAUUUCUUUCAUUUGAGGAAUAAAAUAUCCAUGUUU